Molecule: ribosomal RNA, 476 nt
Filed under: uncultured bacterium
Lineage: Bacteria
Description: bacterial SSU rRNA
Rfam family: Bacterial small subunit ribosomal RNA
Source: RNAcentral
GGCUCAGAUUGAACGCUGGCGGCAGGCCUAACACAUGCAAGUCGAGCGGGGUUUCGGACCUAGCGGCGGACGGGUGAGUAAUGCGUAGGAAGCUACCCGAUAGAGGGGGAUACCAGUUGGAAACGACUGUUAAUACCGCAUAAUGUCUACGGACCAAAGUGUGGGACCUUCGGGCCACAUGCUACCGGAUGCGCCUACGUGGGAUUAGCUAGUUGGUGAGGUAAUGGCUCACCAAGGCGACGAUCUCUAGCUGGUUUGAGAGGAUGAUCAGCCACACUGGAACUGAGACACGGUCCAGACUCCUACGGGAGGCAGCAGUGGGGAAUAUUGGACAAUGGGCGCAAGCCUGAUCCAGCCAUGCCGCGUGUGAAGAAGGCCUUCGGGUUGUAAAGCACUUUCAGCGAGGAGGAAGAGUUGUGUGUUAAUAGUACACAGCUUUGACGUUACUCGCAGAAGAAGCACCGGCUAACUCUGUG